RNAcentral lists this ribosomal RNA (109 nucleotides) under Salmonella enterica subsp. enterica serovar Blockley. RNAcentral also lists the same sequence under 35 other names. The record is from RNAcentral. Lineage: Bacteria; Pseudomonadati; Pseudomonadota; Gammaproteobacteria; Enterobacterales; Enterobacteriaceae.
GCACUAGCGCGGUGGUCCCACCUGACCCCAUGCCGAACUCAGAAGUGAAACGCCGUAGCGCCGAUGGUAGUGUGGGGCCUCCCCAUGCGAGAGUAGGGAACUGCCAGGC